This 196-nucleotide unclassified non-coding RNA is filed under the name uncultured fungus. Its description in RNAcentral is "sequence contains ITS1". Lineage: Eukaryota; Fungi. The record is from RNAcentral.
GUAUAUAUUAUAUAGGCACAACAUUCUAUUAACAUACAUUGGGGUAAAAUGAAGCAACAUAGACCUGAAAGGUCUACAAAAAGUGCACAGGUGGAGAUAUAAAGAUGACAAGGCGUGCACAUGCUCCCUAGAGAACCAGCAACAACCCAUCAGGUUUAUUUCAAUAAUGAUCCUUCCGCAGGUUCACCUACGGAAA